Molecule: ribosomal RNA, 425 nt
Filed under: uncultured bacterium
Lineage: Bacteria
Description: partial 16S ribosomal RNA
Rfam family: Bacterial small subunit ribosomal RNA
Source: RNAcentral
GUGGGGAAUAUUGGACAAUGGGCGAAAGCCUGAUCCAGCAAUGCCGCGUGAGUGAUGAAGGCCUUAGGGUUGUAAAGCUCUUUUACCAGGGAUGAUAAUGACAGUACCUGGAGAAUAAGCUCCGGCUAACUCCGUGCCAGCAGCCGCGGUAAUACGGAGGGAGCUAGCGUUGUUCGGAAUUACUGGGCGUAAAGCGCGCGUAGGCGGCGAUUUAAGUCAGAGGUGAAAGCCCGGGGCUCAACCCCGGAAUAGCCUUUGAGACUGGAUUGCUAGAAUCCUGGAGAGGUGAGUGGAAUUCCGAGUGUAGAGGUGAAAUUCGUAGAUAUUCGGAAGAACACCAGUGGCGAAGGCGGCUCACUGGACAGGUAUUGACGCUGAGGUGCGAAAGCGUGGGGAGCAAACAGGAUUAGAAACCCGUGUAGUCC